CGUGUAGGCGGCUUUGUAAGUUGGGUGUGAAAGCCCUCGGCUUAACCGAGGAAGUGCGCCCAAAACUGCAUGGCUUGAGUACCGGAGAGGGUGGCGGAAUUCCCGGUGUAGAGGUGAAAUUCGUAGAUAUCGGGAGGAACACCAGCGGCGAAGGCGGCCACCUGGACGGAUACUGACGCUGAGACGCGAAAGCGUGGGGAGCAAACAGGAUUAGAUACCCUGGUAGUCCACGCUGUAAACGAUGAGCGCUAGGUGUUGUGGGUGUUGACCCCUGCAGUGCCGCAGCUAACGCAUUAAGCGCUCCGCCUGGGAAGUACGGCCGCAAGGCUAAA
RNAcentral lists this ribosomal RNA (332 nucleotides) under uncultured Anaeromyxobacter sp. Its description in RNAcentral is "bacterial SSU rRNA". It matches the Rfam family "Bacterial small subunit ribosomal RNA", at positions 568 to 898 of the family's 1533-position model. The record is from RNAcentral. Lineage: Bacteria; Pseudomonadati; Myxococcota; Myxococcia; Myxococcales; Anaeromyxobacteraceae.